RNAcentral lists this ribosomal RNA (396 nucleotides) under uncultured bacterium. RNAcentral's name for it is "partial 16S ribosomal RNA". It matches the Rfam family "Bacterial small subunit ribosomal RNA", at positions 523 to 918 of the family's 1533-position model. The record is from RNAcentral.
AUACGUAGGGGGCAAGCGUUAUCCGGAUUUACUGGGUGUAAAGGGAGCGUAGACGGCGAAGCAAGUCUGAAGUGAAAGGACGGGGCCCAACCCCGGAACUGCUUUGGAAACUGUUUGGCUGGAGUGCGGGAGGGGUAAGCGGAAUUCCUAGUGUAGCGGUGAAAUGCGUAGAUAUUAGGAGGAACACCGGUGGCGAAGGCGGCGUACUGGACCUUAACUGACGUUGAGGCUCGAAGGCGUGGGGAGCAAACAGGAUUAGAUACCCUGGUAGUCCACGCGGUAAACGAUGAUCACUAGGUGUCCGUGGGUAUGACCCAUGGGUGCCGCAGCCAACGCAAUAAGUGAUCCACCUGGGGAGUACGUUCGCAAGAAUGAAACUCAAAUGAAUUGACGGGG